RNAcentral lists this ribosomal RNA (253 nucleotides) under uncultured bacterium. RNAcentral describes it as "partial 16S ribosomal RNA". It matches the Rfam family "Bacterial small subunit ribosomal RNA", at positions 524 to 776 of the family's 1533-position model. The record is from RNAcentral.
UACGAAGGGUGCUAGCGUUGUUCGGAAUCACUGGGCGUAAAGGGUACGUAGGCUGUCAAGUAAGUCGAUCGUGAAAGCCCCGAGCUUAACUCGGGAACAGCGGUCGAAACUGCAGGGCUAGAGUAUAAUGGGGGAUAGUGGAAUUCUUAGUGUAGGGGUGAAAUCCGUAGAUAUUAAGAGGAAUACCGGUGGCGAAAGCGACUAUCUAGGUUAUUACUGACGCUGAGGUACGAAAGCGUGGGGAGCAAACAGG